UACGGGGGGGGCAAGCGUUGUUCGGAAUUACUGGGCGUAAAGGGCUCGUAGGCGGCCAACUAAGUCAGACGUGAAAUCCCUCGGCUUAACCGGGGAACUGCGUCUGAUACUGGAUGGCUUGAAUUCGGGAGAGGGAUGCGGAAUUCCAGGUGUAGCGGUGAAAUGCGUAGAUAUCUGGAGGAACACCGGUGGCGAAGGCGGCAUCCUGGACCAACACUGACGCUGAGUGAGCGAAAGCCAGGGGAGCAAACGGG
This 254-nucleotide ribosomal RNA is filed under the name uncultured bacterium. Its description in RNAcentral is "partial 16S ribosomal RNA". It matches the Rfam family "Bacterial small subunit ribosomal RNA", at positions 524 to 776 of the family's 1533-position model. The record is from RNAcentral.